UGGGGUUGUGGCUCAGUGCUAGAGUACUUGCCUUGCAUGUAUGAGGCACUGGGUUCAAUUCUCAGCACCACAA
Molecule: transfer RNA, 73 nt
Filed under: Marmota monax (woodchuck)
Lineage: Eukaryota; Metazoa; Chordata; Mammalia; Rodentia; Sciuridae
Description: tRNA.Ala
Rfam family: tRNA
About the family: Transfer RNA (tRNA) molecules are approximately 80 nucleotides in length. Their secondary structure includes four short double-helical elements and three loops (D, anti-codon, and T loops).
Source: RNAcentral